This 2307-nucleotide ribosomal RNA is filed under the name Salmonella enterica. Its description in RNAcentral is "partial 23S ribosomal RNA". It matches the Rfam family "Bacterial large subunit ribosomal RNA", at positions 489 to 2779 of the family's 2925-position model. Lineage: Bacteria; Pseudomonadati; Pseudomonadota; Gammaproteobacteria; Enterobacterales; Enterobacteriaceae. The record is from RNAcentral.
AGUGAACCAGUACCGUGAGGGAAAGGCGAAAAGAACCCCGGCGAGGGGAGUGAAAAAGAACCUGAAACCGUGUACGUACAAGCAGUGGGAGCACCCUUUGGGGUGUGACUGCGUACCUUUUGUAUAAUGGGUCAGCGACUUAUAUUCUGUAGCAAGGUUAACCGAAUAGGGGAGCCGGAGGGAAACCGAGUCUUAACCGGGCGUUAAGUUGCAGGGUAUAGACCCGAAACCCGGUGAUCUAGCCAUGGGCAGGUUGAAGGUUGGGUAACACUAACUGGAGGACCGAACCGACUAAUGUUGAAAAAUUAGCGGAUGACCUGUGGCUGGGGGUGAAAGGCCAAUCAAACCGGGAGAUAGCUGGUUCUCCCCGAAAGCUAUUUAGGUAGCGCCUCGUGAAUUCAUCUCCGGGGGUAGAGCACUGUUUCGGCUAGGGGGCCAUCCCGGCUUACCAACCCGAUGCAAACUGCGAAUACCGGAGAAUGUUAUCACGGGAGACACACGGCGGGUGCUAACGUCCGUCGUGAAGAGGGAAACAACCCAGACCGCCAGCUAAGGUCCCAAAGUCAUGGUUAAGUGGGAAACGAUGUGGGAAGGCCCAGACAGCCAGGAUGUUGGCUUAGAAGCAGCCAUCAUUUAAAGAAAGCGUAAUAGCUCACUGGUCGAGUCGGCCUGCGCGGAAGAUGUAACGGGGCUAAACCAUGCACCGAAGCUGCGGCAGCGACGCUGAUGCGUUGUUGGGUAGGGGAGCGUUCUGUAAGCCUGUGAAGGUGGCCUGUGAGGGUUGCUGGAGGUAUCAGAAGUGCGAAUGCUGACAUAAGUAACGAUAAAGCGGGUGAAAAGCCCGCUCGCCGGAAGACCAAGGGUUCCUGUCCAACGUUAAUCGGGGCAGGGUGAGUCGACCCCUAAGGCGAGGCCGAAAGGCGUAGUCGAUGGGAAACGGGUUAAUAUUCCCGUACUUGGUGUUACUGCGAAGGGGGGACGGAGAAGGCUAUGUUGGCCGGGCGACGGUUGUCCCGGUUUAAGCGUGUAGGUGUGUGUUCCAGGUAAAUCCGGUUCACUUUAACACUGAGGCGUGAUGACGAGGCACUACGGUGCUGAAGCAACAAAUGCCCUGCUUCCAGGAAAAGCCUCUAAGCAUCAGGUAACAUCAAAUCGUACCCCAAACCGACACAGGUGGUCAGGUAGAGAAUACCAAGGCGCUUGAGAGAACUCGGGUGAAGGAACUAGGCAAAAUGGUGCCGUAACUUCGGGAGAAGGCACGCUGACACGUAGGUGAAGUGAUUUACUCAUGGAGCUGAAGUCAGUCGAAGAUACCAGCUGGCUGCAACUGUUUAUUAAAAACACAGCACUGUGCAAACACGAAAGUGGACGUAUACGGUGUGACGCCUGCCCGGUGCCGGAAGGUUAAUUGAUGGGGUCAGCGCAAGCGAAGCUCCUGAUCGAAGCCCCGGUAAACGGCGGCCGUAACUAUAACGGUCCUAAGGUAGCGAAAUUCCUUGUCGGGUAAGUUCCGACCUGCACGAAUGGCGUAAUGAUGGCCAGGCUGUCUCCACCCGAGACUCAGUGAAAUUGAACUCGCUGUGAAGAUGCAGUGUACCCGCGGCAAGACGGAAAGACCCCGUGAACCUUUACUAUAGCUUGACACUGAACAUUGAGCCUUGAUGUGUAGGAUAGGUGGGAGGCUUUGAAGUGUGGACGCCAGUCUGCAUGGAGCCGGCCUUGAAAUACCACCCUUUAAUGUUUGAUGUUCUAACGUGGACCCGUGAUCCGGGUUGCGGACAGUGUCUGGUGGGUAGUUUGACUGGGGCGGUCUCCUCCUAAAGAGUAACGGAGGAGCACGAAGGUUGGCUAAUCCUGGUCGGACAUCAGGAGGUUAGUGCAAUGGCAUAAGCCAGCUUGACUGCGAGCGUGACGGCGCGAGCAGGUGCGAAAGCAGGUCAUAGUGAUCCGGUGGUUCUGAAUGGAAGGGCCAUCGCUCAACGGAUAAAAGGUACUCCGGGGAUAACAGGCUGAUACCGCCCAAGAGUUCAUAUCGACGGCGGUGUUUGGCACCUCGAUGUCGGCUCAUCACAUCCUGGGGCUGAAGUAGGUCCCAAGGGUAUGGCUGUUCGCCAUUUAAAGUGGUACGCGAGCUGGGUUUAGAACGUCGUGAGACAGUUCGGUCCCUAUCUGCCGUGGGCGCUGGAGAACUGAGGGGGGCUGCUCCUAGUACGAGAGGACCGGAGUGGACGCAUCACUGGUGUUCGGGUUGUCAUGCCAAUGGCACUGCCCGGUAGCUAAAUGCGGAAGAGAUAAGUGCUGAAAGCA